UACGGAGGGUGCAAGCGUUGUCCGGAUUUAUUGGGCGUAAAGAGCUCGUAGGCGGUUUGUCGCGUCUGCCGUGAAAGUCCGGGGCUUAACCCCGGAUCUGCGGUGGGUACGGGCAGACUAGAGUGCAGUAGGGGAGACUGGAAUUCCUGGUGUAGCGGUGAAAUGCGCAGAUAUCAGGAGGAACACCGAUGGCGAAGGCAGGUCUCUGGGCUGUAACUGACGCUGAGGAGCGAAAGCAUGGGGAGCGAACAGG
RNAcentral lists this ribosomal RNA (253 nucleotides) under uncultured bacterium. Its description in RNAcentral is "partial 16S ribosomal RNA". It matches the Rfam family "Bacterial small subunit ribosomal RNA", at positions 524 to 776 of the family's 1533-position model. The record is from RNAcentral.